Molecule: ribosomal RNA, 511 nt
Filed under: uncultured Glomus
Lineage: Eukaryota; Fungi; Glomeromycota; Glomeromycetes; Glomerales; Glomeraceae
Description: SSU rRNA
Rfam family: Eukaryotic small subunit ribosomal RNA
Source: RNAcentral
AGCAGCCGCGGUAAUUCUAGCUCCAAUAGCGUAUAUUAAAGUUGUUGCAGUUAAAAAGCUCGUAGUUGAAUUUCGGGAUCAAUAUAUCGGUCGUGCCAUUGGUACGUACUGGUAUCAUUGGUUUCUCCUUUCUGACGAACCAUGAUGUCAUUAAUUUGGUGUCUUGGGGAAUCAGGACUGUUACUUUGAAAAAAUUAGAGUGUUUAAAGCAGGCUCAUGCUUGAAUUACAUUAGCAUGGAAUAAUGAAAUAGGACGUUUGAUUCUAUUUUGUUGGUUUCUAGGAUCAACGUAAUGAUUAAUAGGGAUAGUUAGGGCAUUAGUAUUCAAUUAUCAGAGGUGAAAUUCUUGGAUUUAUUGAAGACUAAUUACUGCGAAAGCAUUUGCCAAGGAUGUUUUCAUUAAUCAAGAACGAAAGUUAGGGAAUCGAAGACGAUCAGAUACCGUCGUAGUCUUAACCAUAAACUAUGCCGACUAGGGAUCGGAUGAUGUUAAUUUUUAAUGUACUCAUUU